UCCGAAACCGCAUACUUCCCUACUAUAUAGUAUGGAAAAAGCAGUAGGCGAGCGAAUAAGUAUGUCCAAAUCCUUAGUAUCCAUAAAAGAGUAGGCGAGAAUUACCAGAGUGACGUACUAAUUAUCGCGAGAUUCGGGCAUACGUACGUCCGAAUAUUCCUACUUUCGUACUAUAUAGUAGGGGGAAACAGUAUUUGAAAGGAGUAGUAUGUCCGAAACCUCAGUACUCAUAAAAGAGUAGGCGAGAAGUUCCCGGAUGAUCUCCUGCUUUCGCCCCGAUUUUUGAGUGUUCAUCCGAUGGAUACUCUUCUAUCCCAGGAGGCCACGGGAGAGCAUACGUCAUUAUCAACAUCGGAGAUCAGCAGGGGUUUUCAAAUGGACAGAAGAACACGCGUGUGUUUAUCUGCUGGAGAGAGGCUCAUGAUGCUGAAUGCUGUCAUGAAAGGCUCUGAGUGAGUAUACUACAGAAAUGGAUAACAAAAUCUAUUCAAUCUUAAAUUCUUUUGUGGUGGAGCAAGACCUGCAAGGAAAGAUGAUGG
Pimephales promelas (fathead minnow) is the source of this 539-nucleotide non-coding RNA. NCBI's taxonomy places the organism in Eukaryota, Metazoa, Chordata, Actinopteri, Cypriniformes, Leuciscidae. The record is from RefSeq and is a predicted model, not a curated record.